UACGUAGGGUGCAAGCGUUGUCCGGAUUUAUUGGGUUUAAAGGGUGCGUAGGCGGCCCUCUAAGUCAGUGGUGAAAUACUGCAGCUUAACUGUAGCAUUGCCAUUGAUACUGGAGGGCUUGAGUACAGAUGAGGUAGGCGGAAUUUAUGGUGUAGCGGUGAAAUGCAUAGAUACCAUAAAGAACACCUAUUGCGAAGGCAGCUUACUAAGCUGUAACUGACGCUGAGGCACGAAAGCGUGGGGAGCGAACAGG
This 253-nucleotide ribosomal RNA is filed under the name uncultured bacterium. Its description in RNAcentral is "partial 16S ribosomal RNA". It matches the Rfam family "Bacterial small subunit ribosomal RNA", at positions 524 to 776 of the family's 1533-position model. The record is from RNAcentral.